AACGAACGCUGGUGGCGUGCUUAACACAUGCAAGUCGAACGAGAAAGUUUCCUUCGGGAAAUUAGUAAAGUGGCGCAAGGGUGAGUAUCACGUGAAUAAUCUGCCCUCGAGAUCGGAAUAACAUGGUGAAAACUAAUGCUAAUGCCGGAUAAGACCACAUUUCAUAAGAAAUAGCGGUAAAAGGAAGUCUCAAUCUUCACUCGAGGAUGAGUUCGCGCAACAUUAGCUUGUUGGUGAGAUAAAAGACUCACCAAAGGCUACGAUGUUUAGCCGGCCUGAGAGGGUGAACGGCCACACUGGAACUGAGACACGGUCCAGACUCCUACGGGAGGCAGCAGUGGGGAAUAUUGCGCAAUGGGCGAAAGCCUGACGCAGCAACGCCGUGUGAGCGAUG
RNAcentral lists this ribosomal RNA (394 nucleotides) under uncultured Nitrospina sp. RNAcentral's name for it is "bacterial SSU rRNA". It matches the Rfam family "Bacterial small subunit ribosomal RNA", at positions 29 to 410 of the family's 1533-position model. The record is from RNAcentral. Lineage: Bacteria; Pseudomonadati; Nitrospinota; Nitrospinia; Nitrospinales; Nitrospinaceae.